RNAcentral lists this non-coding RNA (798 nucleotides) under Atkinsoniella xanthonota. The record is from RNAcentral. Lineage: Eukaryota; Metazoa; Arthropoda; Insecta; Hemiptera; Cicadellidae.
AAAGCUUAUUGCGGAAGCAAUUUCUAUUUUGCCGUAAUUUCAUAUAUUAAUAAAUAUAAUAAGUUUGAUUCUAGCUUUAAUAUUAAUUUUUUUAAAUUAAUUAUAUGUUUAUUUUGUAAAAUUUUAUAUUAACAGUAAUUUGUUUUAUUAAAAUUUUUAUUUUUUAUUAGAAAUUUAAUAAAAUUGGAUUAAUUUUGUGCCAGCAUUCGCGGUUAUACAAAAUCAUUUAAGUUAAUAUUUUUGUUUAUUAUAUUUAUGAAUUUAUAUGAUUAUAAUUUUUAUAUAUUUAGGUGGAAUUUAUAUUUAAAUUAUUGUUCUGUUAUUAUUAUAUUAAGUAUAACAAGUAAACUAGGAUUAGAUACCCUAUUAUUUUUUAUUUAAAUUUUAUAUACUGAAUAUUAAUAGUUAAGUUCUAUAAAACUCAAAGAAUUUGGCGGUAAUUUAUCUUUAUAGAGGAACCUGUAUUUUAAUUGAUAAACCACAAUAAUUUUUACCUAAAUGUUAUUUGUAUAUCGCUAUAAUUUUAAGAGUAUUUUAUAAAGGAAUAUUCUUUUAUUAUAAAAAUAUAUAUUAGGUCAAGGUGCAGUUUUAUUUAGGUAAAUAUGGGUUACAUUAUUUAUAUUUAUAUUCAAUUUAAAUUAUUCUUAAUUUUUGUUAGAAAGGAUUUAUUAGUAAUUUGAAUUAAUUAAUUUUUUUGAAAUUUUGCUUCUAAAUUAUGUACAUAUCGCCCGUCACUCCUAAUUAUAUUAGGAUAAGUCGUAACAAAGUAGUUGUACCGGAAGGUGUAUCUAGAAUGUA